Molecule: small nucleolar RNA, 130 nt
Organism: Molossus molossus (Pallas's mastiff bat)
Lineage: Eukaryota; Metazoa; Chordata; Mammalia; Chiroptera; Molossidae
Product: small nucleolar RNA SNORA33
Exons: 1
Source: RefSeq, a predicted model, not a curated record
AUGCCAGCCAAUGAGCCUGCUCACCUGAAAGUGUUUCUGCAGAAAUGUAGAGAAAGCCGGCAAUAGUAAUGCCAUGUUAUGAGCCUUAAAGACAUUGAAGCCAUUAAGGUCCCUGAAAAGGGCUAUUAAA